GGCUGCACCACGGCGCCGGGGGGCGCCACACAGGUGAUGAGCCCCUCCUCCCGUGGCUACUCGCCCUCUUCUCCGCUCACAGGUCUCUGUUGGGUGUCUUUCCUUAUCUCCUCCAUCCCUUUCUCUGAGCUGCUUUCUCCAUCUCCUUGUCUCAUUUUCUCUCUGGAAUUCUCCAAGCUCUUAGUUCAGUGUUUUUCCCGGAUUCCUCUUGGACCCUCCCUUCUGGCUUCCUCAGAGCCCCUUCGAAAACUUUUUCCUUCCCUGCCCCUACUUUUCUCUACCUCUUUCCUCUUGUCUUUUGUUCUCAUUCGUUCCCCUCCGAGCUGCACGACUUCUCUCUCUCCUCACACUUCUCUGCUGGUCUUGGCCUCUCUCCUUGCCUAAGCCCUGAAAUGCUUUUUCUGCACCUCCAACUCUUCCCGGGGUUGCCUUUGCCAGUUGCAGCUGCUGCUCGGCCAGAGGUAAUUAAUGGUUCCUUCCUUGGGCUUGCAAGGUGCCUUAAAGAAAGGCCUUCCUCCCUCAAACUUCCCCCAAACCACGGUAACAGCUACUGAGUCAUGAUAGCAAUCCCUGGAGGUGGGGGUGGGGGGCAGUAGUGAAUAUAGUCCAAGAAAUUCUGGUCCCUCUUGAAUCUGAAUCGUAAUUGACAGUAUAUUACCAAGGCAAGGACAUUUGUUUGUGAUGGAGAGAGAGAGAGAGAGCUUGAACUCACAGAGACUUUCUGGAGAAAGACUGAAGGAAUUCCCACCUGAAGCCUGCUUCAGGCUGACUAUUGCAGGACUUGACUUUAAGAGUAUUUACCCUCGUCCAGCCUGUCUUUGCUCACCUGUAAAACAGGUUAUAGCCAUCUCACUGGAAAGAACAAUGAACAGAAAGCAUUGGAGUGCACAGGAAGUACUCAGCACUGGCUUUCUUCACCUCUUCCAUCGUCCGCUACCUCUAUAAAGUGUGCUGGGAAGGAUAGGUGACAGUGUUGAUCUCAUACUAACGUGAAAGGAAGAAAACACGUGACACCAAAAGAAAGGAUCUACCUCGUGUAUUCCACCAAAGGCUGAGAUACCACUGACAAGAGACCUACAUCAUUUAUAGUGAUGGAGACAGAAAUCAAAACAACCUAAAAGGACCUUGGGCACCUCUGCCUUCACCACACCCUUGCUCAGAAAUCCUUGGCAAGAUUCUAUUACUGUCCUCCCACUGCCUUGAGGGCAAGAUUCUCACUGCUUGCUGUUCCUUUUGGAGUGAGUCAAAGGUAUCCCUGUCAUUUACUGUUCACACUGAUUCUAGUACCUUCUCUGAACACAACACUGGCAUUCUAAGCAGGUGUCCUACAAUAUACAAGUCCUAUAUGUGGGACUAGAAAGAUGGCUCAGUGGAUAAA
Onychomys torridus (southern grasshopper mouse) is the source of this 1378-nucleotide long non-coding RNA. RefSeq lists it as uncharacterized. The transcript has 3 exons. The record is from RefSeq and is a predicted model, not a curated record. NCBI's taxonomy places the organism in Eukaryota, Metazoa, Chordata, Mammalia, Rodentia, Cricetidae.